GUAGUCCAUGCCGUAAACGUUGGGCACUAGGUGUGGGGGACAUUCCACGUUUUCCGCGCCGUAGCUAACGCAUUAAGUGCCCCGCCUGGGGAGUACGGCCGCAAGGCUAAAACUCAAAGGAAUUGACGGGGGCCCGCACAAGCGGCGGAGCAUGCGGAUUAAUUCGAUGCAACGCGAAGAACCUUACCAAGGCUUGACAUGAACCGGAAUGAUGCAGAGAUGUGUCAGCCACUUGUGGCCGGUUUACAGGUGGUGCAUGGUUGUCGUCAGCUCGUGUCGUGAGAUGUUGGGUUAAGUCCCGCAACGAGCGCAACCCUCGUUCCAUGUUGCCAGCGGGUUAUGCCGGGGAC
RNAcentral lists this ribosomal RNA (350 nucleotides) under uncultured Arthrobacter sp. RNAcentral describes it as "bacterial SSU rRNA". It matches the Rfam family "Bacterial small subunit ribosomal RNA", at positions 790 to 1138 of the family's 1533-position model. Lineage: Bacteria; Bacillati; Actinomycetota; Actinomycetes; Micrococcales; Micrococcaceae. The record is from RNAcentral.